AUUACCUCCCCUUACCAGAAGGAUAGAUUCUGUCUGUAUUUACACUGAGGAUGGAGGAAAUUUAAUUAAAUUCUUUCAAGUGCUAGAUUUACUUGCACUAUCAAUUUACUGCCUAACCCACCAUUCUCAUUUUGGAGAAAGAGAAUAGGACCAUAUGUCUCAAACUUAUCAAUUGUCAGCACUUCCAGUAAUAGUUUUCUGCUUAGAAUCAAAGAAAGAUUUGAGUUUUUGAGUCCCCCCAAAGCCCUCUAGUUAGAAACGUAUGGACUUUGUGAUUUGGAACUGAAUUUACUAUACACUUUUGUUUAUUGGAAUGAGUUUUGAAAGAAAUCUAGUAUCUUACUUGCAAAAUAUUUUAACGCAAAGUUUGGCAACUUCUCCAAAGGGUAGUUCUCCCAUCAUUGCCUGGUGAAAACUAUGCAAGAAUUACAUUAAACACCACCACCACCAAUUAAUCAUCUAUAUAUUUGGCCAAGGGACAAAACCCUGGCCUGUGGGGAAAGCCAGAAAAGGCAAGGAUAAGUACACAGUUCAUUACCAUGGAAAUAUAUCAGUAUAAAGAGAAACGUGGUAAAAAUUUCUGAUGGCAGAGAGAAUGAUUUCACAAUCCUGUCCCCAAAAUGAUAUUACGGAAAAGUUUCUCCCAUUGAGCUUAGAUGACUAUUUAAUUUAUAGAUGGAACAGAAAUAUACAUGCAUUUUCACAUUUCUCUAAUUUGCAGACAAAAUGUCUGAUAUAAAGCUCAAAAAAAAAAAAAACCCAUCCAAAAUUUAAUGGGGCAUGUGACCUGUCCUCAAGUAGCUUAUAGUGCAGUUGAAAAGAUAAGACUUGCACAUAUGGCAUCAAUAAAGUCAAAGAAAUUCUGUUAUGAGGAGUGAAAUGCAUAUAAUUAAUGUCAAGCUGCACAGAAUGGACACACAUUAGGAGCUAUGGGAAAUUAGGAAGAGGAACAAAGGAUUAAUGGCAGCUCAAGUCUUAAAGAUUCAUGAAGAAUGUGUGGUAUGUGUUAUGUAUCUCAAAGGUGGGGCACAGUUUCAAUGAGACAUUCUGGUUGAAAAAGAGGGAAAAAAGAGCAAAAGCAUGAGAGAGGAAAUACAAUGGGCAGAAGGCAAAGAAGAGGCCAGGCUGACUAGGAUAGAGUUUGUGAGAAUGUGGGCACGGCAGGGUAGAUUCAGACUUGGCAAUGCAGGCUUAAGCAUUUGGUUUAGGUUCCACAGGCAGGGAAGAGCCAUCAGGAUCCACUGAACAGUGUAGUGACACGAUGAAAGUAGUGUUGUGGGAAAAUUAGACCAAGAUUUAUGGGAUUGCAUAUGGCCAUCCAGAUGGCAAGUGCACCAGUUGCAAAGAUACUUACUUGCCAGUACAGCGAGCAGUGAGAUGACUGUGAAAGGCUGGCGUGAAAUCAGGCCAUGAUGGCGGCUGGGAUCAACCAGAAUGAGUUCAGAUGGGGAGAACAGAUAGUUUCCACUGGCAAUAUGGAAGAGUUGUGAUGAAACAUCGUGAUCGUUCGAAUGGAGCACACCCAAAAGAAACCGAGGAAAGCAAAGACACUGAGGAGAAUAAGAGAGUUGGAAUAGUGAGGUCUCAUUAUUAUCUGCCCCCUGCCUCUCUCUCCAAACUAAUUUUGAUGCAUGUGCCAGUUGUCCUGAACUGCCUGUGGUUUCCUGAGAUCCGUGUUUUCUUACCUCUCCAGGCCUUUGCACGGAAGGCUCUUUCUACCAUUUUUUCCUGAAUGCAUUUUUUUGUAGGCAGAAUGGGACCCAAAGACAAAGACCCUAAGCCCUGGAACCUGUGAAUAUGCUACAUGACAUAGUAAAAGGAACUAUGCCAAUGUAGUUAAGGUUAUGGAGCCCAUGAUAGGGAAGAUAAUCCUGGGUUAUCCAGGUGGGCCCUGUCUAAGCACAGGAGCCCUUGAAAGCAGAGAACCUUCUCCUGCUGGAAUCAGAGAGAUGUGACAGAAGGAGAAGUCAGAGUGAUCUGAAGUGUGAGAAGGACUCAAUUUGCUGUUGCUGGAGGGAAGCCACAGGAAAACCGAAGGUGGCUUCUAGGAGCAAAGACUGGCCUCCAGCUAACAGCCAGCUAGGAAUGGGGACUUCAGUCCUAUAACUUCAAGGAAAGGAAUCUGGCAAUCGACCUGAGUGAGCUUGGAGUCACCCUGAAUGAGCUUGGAUGUGAAUUCAAUUCCAGAGCCCCAGAAAGGAAGGUAGCUGCUGACACCUUGGUAUCGACCUUAUAAGACGCAAAGCAGAGAAACUGGCCAGGCUACACUGUACCCAGACUCCUUUUUUUUUUUUUUUUUUUUUUUUUUUUUUUUUUUUUUAUGGAGAUUCUCAGGCUAGGGGUUGAAUCAGAGCUGUAGCUGCGGGCCUGUGCCACAGCCACAGCAUGCAGGAUCUGAGCCGUGUCUGUGACCUACACCAUAGUUCGUGGCAAUGCCAGAUCCUUAACCCACUGAGUGAGGCCAGGGAUCGAACCUGCGUCCUCAUGGAUACUAGCCAGAUUUGUUAACUGCUGAGCCACGAAGGGAACUCCCUAUACCCAGACUUCUAACCUGCAAAACUGGGAGACAAUGAAUGGAUGUUGUUUUAAGGCAGUGAUUUUUUUUUUUUAGUAAUUUGUUACAGUAGCCAUAGAAAACUAAUAUAGCACCCUUAACACUCAGCUCAAACAUCAGACUUUUGGGAAGGCUUCCCUAAGCCCCUCUCUGGGUUCCCGUAGCACUCUCUAUGUUUCUUUAUCAUGGCACAGAUGACAUCAUAUGCAUGUCAUGUGGGUGCACAGCUGCUUCCUUGCCUAGUGAGUACCAAGAAGGAAGGGACCAUGGCUAUUCAUUUUGUAUUUGUAUCUGUAGCACUUAGCACAGUGCCCGAUGCUUGGUGGCAGUUCCUCACCAAGUAUUGAGGUGGAAAGAGAAGGAAGAUGGGAAGAAGAAAAUGUGGCUGAGAGAGAGAAAGGGUUAAAAAAAAUGGAGUAGGAGUUCCCGUCAUGGCUCAGUGGCUAACGAAUCGGACUAGGAACCAUGAGAUUGCAGGUUCGAUCCCUUGCCUCGCUCAGUGGGUUAAGGAUCCGGCGUUGCCUUGAGCUGCAGUGUAGGCUGCAGACGCGGCUCGGAUCUGACGUGGCUCAGCUCCGAUUUGAGCCCUAGACUGGGAACCUCCAUAUGCUACGGGUGCGGCCCUAGAAAAAG
RNAcentral lists this long non-coding RNA (3187 nucleotides) under Sus scrofa (pig). Its description in RNAcentral is "lncRNA (ENSSSCG00000053200.1)". Lineage: Eukaryota; Metazoa; Chordata; Mammalia; Artiodactyla; Suidae. The record is from RNAcentral.